UACGUAGGGGGCUAGCGUUGUCCGGAAUCAUUGGGCGUAAAGGGCGCGUAGGCGGCCACCGCAAGUCGAUUGUGAAAUCUCCGGGCUUAACCCGGAAAGGUCAACCGAUACUGCGGGGCUAGAGUGCAGAAGGGGCAACUGGAAUUCUCGGUGUAGCGGUGAAAUGCGUAGAUAUCGAGAGGAACACCUGCGGCGAAGGCGGGUUGCUGGGCUGACACUGACGCUGAUGUGCGAAAGCUAGGGGAGCGAACGGG
RNAcentral lists this ribosomal RNA (254 nucleotides) under uncultured bacterium. RNAcentral describes it as "partial 16S ribosomal RNA". It matches the Rfam family "Bacterial small subunit ribosomal RNA", at positions 524 to 776 of the family's 1533-position model. The record is from RNAcentral.